This 478-nucleotide ribosomal RNA is filed under the name uncultured bacterium. Its description in RNAcentral is "partial 16S ribosomal RNA". It matches the Rfam family "Bacterial small subunit ribosomal RNA", at positions 28 to 523 of the family's 1533-position model. The record is from RNAcentral.
GACGAACGCUGGCGGCGUGCUUAACACAUGCAAGUCGAACGGUAAGGCCCUUCGGGGUACACGAGUGGCGAACGGGUGAGUAACACGUGGGUGAUCUGCCCUGCACUUCGGGAUAAGCCUGGGAAACUGGGUCUAAUACCGGAUAGGACCACUGCCUGCAUGGGUGGUGGUGGAAAGCGUUUGCGGUGUGGGAUGGGCCCGCGGCCUAUCAGCUUGUUGGUGGGGUGAUGGCCUACCAAGGCGACGACGGGUAGCCGGCCUGAGAGGGUGACCGGCCACACUGGGACUGAGAUACGGCCCAGACUCCUACGGGAGGCAGCAGUGGGGAAUAUUGCACAAUGGGCGCAAGCCUGAUGCAGCGACGCCGCGUGUGGGAUGACGGCCUUCGGGUUGUAAACCUCUUUCAGCACCGACGAAGCGCAAGUGACGGUAGGUGCAGAAGAAGGACCGGCCAACUACGUGCCAGCCGCCGCAGUAA